AACGAACGCUGGCGGCAGGCCUAACACAUGCAAGUCGAACGCCCUAGCAAUAGGGAGUGGCAGACGGGUGAGUAACGCGUGGGAACCUUCCCUGUGGUGCGGAAUAACUCGCCGAAAGGCGUGCUAAUACCGCAUAAGCCCGCAAGGGGAAAGAUUUAUCGCCAUAGGAUGGGCCCGCGUAGGAUUAGCUAGUUGGUGAGGUAAUGGCUCACCAAGGCGACGAUCCUUAGCGGUUUGAGAGAAUGACCGGCCACACUGGGACUGAGACACGGCCCAGACUCCUACGGGAGGCAGCAGUGGGGAAUCUUGGACAAUGGGCGCAAGCCUGAUCCAGCCAUGCCGCGUGAGUGACGAAGGCCUUC
RNAcentral lists this ribosomal RNA (362 nucleotides) under uncultured bacterium. RNAcentral describes it as "bacterial SSU rRNA". It matches the Rfam family "Bacterial small subunit ribosomal RNA", at positions 29 to 419 of the family's 1533-position model. The record is from RNAcentral.